RNAcentral lists this long non-coding RNA (272 nucleotides) under Capsicum annuum. Its description in RNAcentral is "long non-coding RNA (CANN_LNC007179)". The record is from RNAcentral. Lineage: Eukaryota; Viridiplantae; Streptophyta; Magnoliopsida; Solanales; Solanaceae.
GGACUUACAAGCUCAAAGCUAACCAAACAUCAAGGUGCUCAACCAAAAAUAUGAAACUUUUCCUUUUUAUUUUCUUUUCCAAAUUCAACUUCUUCUUCGAGUGAAAGCAGCUCUCUAUUCACCUCACACUCUUGAUUUAUGACGAAAACUUCAUUACCUCCUGCACCUAAUGUUCCUUGAAUCAAAAAGUUUGUGAGAAACCAAUAAAUAAGAACCCCAUAAUUCAAUAGUCAAACAAAUCAAUAAGGUGCAUGCAAGGAUUUAUUAUUAAU